Molecule: ribosomal RNA, 932 nt
Filed under: uncultured marine bacterium
Lineage: Bacteria
Description: bacterial SSU rRNA
Rfam family: Bacterial small subunit ribosomal RNA
Source: RNAcentral
GCAUGCAAGUCGAGCGAAGCUUUUCAGUAGUUUACUACAGAAAAUGACUGAGCGGCGAACGGGUGAGUAACGCGUGAGCAAUCUACCUUAGUUACAGGGAUAGCCCGGGGAAACUCGGAUUAAUACCUGAUAUUCUUUACAUUUCGCAUGAAAUCAAAAGGAAAGGUCAGCCGAACUAAGAUGAGCUCGCGUUCUAUCAGCUAGUUGGUGAGGUAAAAGCUCACCAAGGCUACGACGGAUAGCUGGUCUGAGAGGACGAUCAGCCACACUGGGACUGAGACACGGCCCAGACUCCUACGGGAGGCUGCAGCAGGGAAUAUUGCGCAAUGAGCGAAAGCUUGACGCAGCGACACCGCGUGUGGGAUGACGGAUCUAGGUUUGUAAACCACUUUCAGGAGGGAAGAAAAUGACGGUACCUCCACAAGAAGCCCCGGCCAACUACGUGCCAGCAGCCACGGUAAUACGUAGGGGGCGAGCGUUGUCCGGAUUUAUUGGGCGUAAAGAGCUCGUAGGCGGUUCAACAAGUCGGUCGUAAAAGUUCAGGGCUCAACCCUGAAAUGUCGAUCGAUACUGUUGUGACUAGGAUACGGUAGAGGUGAGUGGAAUUCCGAGUGUAGCGGUGAAAUGCGUAGAUAUUCGGAGGAACACCAAUUGCGAAGGCAGCUCACUGGGCCGCUAUCGACGCUGAGGAGCGAAAGCUAGGGGAGCAAACAGGAUUAGAUACCCUGGUAGUCCUAGCUGUAAACGAUGGAUACUAGACGUAGGAACUGGAUUGACGGUUUCUGUGUCGUAGCUAACGCGUUAAGUAUCCCGCCUGGGGAGUACGGUCGCAAGACUAAAACUCAAAGGGAUUGACGGGACCCCGCACAAGCGGCGGAGCAUGCGGCUUAAUUCGAUGAUACCCGUAGAACCUUACCUGGGACUGACAUAUA